Molecule: transfer RNA, 109 nt
Filed under: Candidatus Woesearchaeota archaeon
Lineage: Archaea; Nanobdellati; Candidatus Woesearchaeota
Description: tRNA-OTHER
Rfam family: tRNA
About the family: Transfer RNA (tRNA) molecules are approximately 80 nucleotides in length. Their secondary structure includes four short double-helical elements and three loops (D, anti-codon, and T loops).
Source: RNAcentral
GGGCCGGUAGCUCAGCUUGGUAGAGCACCUCGAGGUAAUAAAAACUCUGGUGAAACUUUUAUCGAGUAAAGAAAUGAGGUGGUCGUGGGUCCAAAUCCCAUCCGGCCCG